GUCCACGCCUUAAACUAUGGAUACUAAGUGUCGGCGGUUUACCGCCGGUGCCGCAGCUAACGCAAUAAGUAUCCCGCCUGGGAAGUACGGCCGCAAGGUUGAAACUCAAAGGAAUUGACGGGGCCGCACAAGCGGUGGAGCAUGUGGUUUAAUUCGACGCAACGAGAAGAACCUUACCCAGGCUGGACAUGCAGGUAGUAGAAGGGUGAAAGCCCAACGAGGUAGAAAUACCAUCCUGCUCAGGUGCUGCAUGGCUGUAGU
RNAcentral lists this ribosomal RNA (261 nucleotides) under uncultured bacterium. RNAcentral describes it as "partial 16S ribosomal RNA". It matches the Rfam family "Bacterial small subunit ribosomal RNA", at positions 793 to 1055 of the family's 1533-position model. The record is from RNAcentral.